RNAcentral lists this ribosomal RNA (346 nucleotides) under uncultured bacterium. RNAcentral describes it as "bacterial SSU rRNA". It matches the Rfam family "Bacterial small subunit ribosomal RNA", at positions 28 to 369 of the family's 1533-position model. The record is from RNAcentral.
GACGAACGCUGGCGGCGUGCCUAAUACAUGCAAGUCGAGCGGACCAAAGGGAGCUUGCUCCUGGAGGUUAGCGGCGAACGGGUGAGUAACACGUGGGCAACCUGCCUGUAAGACUGGGAUAACAUCGAGAAAUCGGUGCUAAUACCGGAUAAUAAAAGAACUGCAUGGUUCUUUUGAAGAUGGUUUCGGCUAUCACUUACAGAUGGGCCGCGGCGCAUUAGCUAGUUGGUGAGGUAACGGCUCACCAAGGCAACGAUGCGUAGCCGACCUGAGAGGGUGAUCGGCCACACUGGGACUGAGACACGGCCCAGACUCCUACGGGAGGCAGCAGUAGGGAAUCUUCCGC